UACAGAGGUCUCAAGCGUUGUUCGGAUUCAUUGGGCGUAAAGGGUGCGUAGGCGGCGCGGUAAGUCGGGUGUGAAAUCUCGGAGCUUAACUCCGAAACUGCAUUCGAUACUGCCGUGCUUGAGGACUGGAGAGGAGACUGGAAUUUACGGUGUAGCGGUGAAAUGCGUAGAUAUCGUAAGGAACACCAGUGGCGAAGGCGGCUUACUGGUCCGGUUCUGACGCUGAGGCGCGAAAGCGUGGGGAGCAAACAGG
Molecule: ribosomal RNA, 253 nt
Filed under: uncultured bacterium
Lineage: Bacteria
Description: partial 16S ribosomal RNA
Rfam family: Bacterial small subunit ribosomal RNA
Source: RNAcentral